ACAGACGACAAUAAUAAAUUUAGACGCCAUUUUCUGUCAACAAUUCUCUGGCUGGAUCUGCUAAAGAUUGCUUAUUAUAAGUAAAAUAUUGUGAUUAGAAGUUUAAUUAUUUGUAAUAUAUCUUCUAUUGUAAUCGCUUAAACUUGAUCAACAAUAAAAAAUGUGCGCGACCGUCGAACUAUUACAGAAUGUGUAUUAUAUUGUAGGAAGGAGCCAGACUUGUUUACUUGAGUUUUCAAGUUGAUUUAAUGCUUGGAAUAUCGGCUACAACCGUUUGAUUUGAUAUGGAAUAACUUGGAGAUGUUGGGUGGAUCAAUACCUGAUUAUAUUCUGAAAUUGAGCUUCAACUAUGGAAUUUAACUCUACACAUCCAACAUCCAAGGCUUGGAAUAUUGUUUACACAAAACCUCUUGUUUGGACAUUGAACUUGGAACAUGGAAAAUGUUGUCAAUGGAUUCCACUGGAAUAUUCAAUGAA
Molecule: long non-coding RNA, 477 nt
Filed under: Nilaparvata lugens (brown planthopper)
Lineage: Eukaryota; Metazoa; Arthropoda; Insecta; Hemiptera; Delphacidae
Description: uncharacterized LOC120354241
Source: RNAcentral